This 813-nucleotide ribosomal RNA is filed under the name Chryseobacterium sp. Its description in RNAcentral is "bacterial SSU rRNA". It matches the Rfam family "Bacterial small subunit ribosomal RNA", at positions 51 to 867 of the family's 1533-position model. The record is from RNAcentral. Lineage: Bacteria; Pseudomonadati; Bacteroidota; Flavobacteriia; Flavobacteriales; Weeksellaceae.
ACACAUGCAGCCGAGCGGUAGGAGAUCUUUCGGGAUCUUGAGAGCGGCGUACGGGUGCGGAACACGUGUGCAACCUGCCUUUAUCGGGGGGAUAGCCUUUCAAAAGGAAAAUCUACCCCAUAAUAUAUUGAGUGGCAUCACUUAAUAUUGAAAACUCCGGUGGAUAGAGAUGGGCACGCGCAACAUUCGAUAGUUGGUGAGGUAACGGCUCACCAAGUCUGCGAUCUUUAAGGGGCCUGAGAGGGUGAUCCCCCACACUGGUACUGAGACACGUGACCAUACUCCUACCGGAGGCAGCAGUGAGGAAUAUUGUACAAUGGGUGCGAGCCUGAUCCAGCCAUCCCGCGUGAAGGACCACAGCCCUAUGCGUUGUAAACUUCUUUUGUAUAUGGAUAAACCUACUCUCGUGAGAUUAGCUGAAAGUACUAUCCUAAUAAUCACCGGCUACCUCCGUGCCACCUACCGCGGAAAUCCCGAGGGUGCACGCGUUAUCCGGAUUUAUUGGAUUUAAAGGGCCCGUAUGCGGAUCAAUAAGUCAGUGUUGAAAUCUCACAGCUUAACUGUGAAAUUGCAAUUGAUACUGCACGUCUUGAGUGUUGUUGAAGUAGCUGGAAUAAGUAGUGUAGCGGUGAAAUGCAUAGAUAUUACUUAGAACACCAAUUGCGAAGGCAGGUUACUAAGCAACAACUGACGCUGAUGGACGAAAGCGUGGGGAGCGAACAGAGAUUAGAUACCCUGGUAGUCCACGCCGUAAACGAUGCUAACUCGUGUUUGUGUUUUCCGAUUCCGAGACUAAGCGAAUGUGAUAAGUUA